This 66-nucleotide transfer RNA is filed under the name Gesiella jameensis. Its description in RNAcentral is "tRNA-Gln". It matches the Rfam family "tRNA". From Rfam's summary of the family: Transfer RNA (tRNA) molecules are approximately 80 nucleotides in length. Their secondary structure includes four short double-helical elements and three loops (D, anti-codon, and T loops). Lineage: Eukaryota; Metazoa; Annelida; Polychaeta; Phyllodocida; Polynoidae. The record is from RNAcentral.
UGAUUAGAGUAUAGUACAAAUAAAAUUUUGAUUUUUAUAAUAAAGGUUCAAUACCUUUCUAAUCAA